GUUGUUGCUAAGGGCGUCUUCUUCUCCGAGCCUGUGGUCCGCAGCACGGAGCAGGGAGGGAGCGGGGCGGCGCUUAGCCUCCCAGCCGAGGAGCGCCCCACUGCGGCCAUCUGGAGACCUGCAGCCAGCGUGCAGACUCGUUCAAGGUGUGAGUGUGUGGACUCUGAUCACAGCCAGUGAAUUUACAACCACAGCAAAAGAUGGGGCCAGGUGCAGAGCUACCUAUAGGUCCAUGCGGGGGUCGAACGGGUUCUGGCUGUAUUUGGUCUGGGAGCAUGUGACAGACACUGACACCUGUGGGUUCACUGGUCCAACAUCUUACUUUGAAUGUCCUGUGUAAAUGGAAUCAGUCUAAACACAGUCGUAUCAAAGAUGGAAGAGCGGAACUGUGAGCGUCAUGGUAAAAUCUAAAUGAAUCAUCAUGUGAAGCAUUCAUUAAAACAAAAUCUCACAUGUGUCUAUUUACACAGUUUAUCAUCUGCAUGGUGAAUAUAAUACAGGAUGACGCCUCAGUUCAGAUUGUGUAUUGCCCUCUGCUGGUAUUUUGAAAGCUGUACAAGCCGCCCUAGUUAACUUGGGUUUUGUCUGGAUAAUAACCGAGAAAUGGUGGAUGUCUGUUUUUGAGAAGCAAACAAACAAUAACUCUGACUCCACAAGCACUGAACUCCUUGUUUUACUGUCUACAUUAUGAUGACGGAGUCCAUGUGAUGUCUGUUAUAACAGCUACUAAUAACAUUUCUUUUAAAAUGAAUUUAUCUUUUAUUACGUAUUUCUUGUAAGGACAACAUGUUAGUCAACAUUUCUCGGAAUGUGUUUAUCAGCUGGUUAAGGGCCUCUGGUGUUCGGAAACCACUGAACUUAUGAAACUUUGCAGAUGUUCUAAGUAGAAUGAUCAUGAUUGAUUGAUCAUGAUUGAAUCUCAUACAAUGUAACCUUGAUCAUGCUGUAUCAUAUUCAACUGAAUGAAUCUUGGCCUGAUUGCUUUAACUAAGGAAUUGUCGCCUCGAUCUCAUCAGAAGAUCCUGAACCUUGACUUUGUAACAACCCCAACCAGAGCGGGAGGGAUGAGCCAAAUGUAUAACGACAAAGAACUGCCUCCCAUCGGUGUGCAUAUUACAAACUAACCGUUGUCCUAUGCACCGUACUCUGAGCAUUAAAGUGUGACAAUACUGUAAGAGAAUUGGGUCUCGUUCCUCGUUGUUAAGGUGGGGUUGUAGAAAUUGCCAGGACAUGUGCCACAGCCACCCCACCAGUUCACAGUCUAUAAUGCUCCUAUUAGGGGCUAACUAGUACCUCACCUACCACAUGUGUUUCAGUGUUUUUUUUCAGCCCCUGGGUCUUUUCGAUAUUCUUUCUUUUAGAUAUAUAUACGUGUGUGUGUUUGUGUGUGUGUGUGUACCUAUAUUACAUCCACAAACUCUCAAUUAUCAAUGACGUGAAUACAAACACAAGCAUUUGAAGACAUAUUGUGUUCUCUCUUUCAUUGUGUGUGUGUGUGUAUAAAUAAAGAGCACUGAAAUAAA
Molecule: long non-coding RNA, 1523 nt
Organism: Platichthys flesus (European flounder)
Lineage: Eukaryota; Metazoa; Chordata; Actinopteri; Pleuronectiformes; Pleuronectidae
Exons: 2
Source: RefSeq, a predicted model, not a curated record